UACGUAGGGUGCAAGCGUUAAUCGGAAUUACUGGGCGUAAAGCGUGCGCAGGCGGUUAUGCAAGACAGAGGUGAAAUCCCCGGGCUCAACCUGGGAACUGCCUUUGUGACUGCAUAGCUAGAGUACGGUAGAGGGGAUGGAAUUCCGCGUGUAGCAGUGAAAUGCGUAGAUAUGCGGAGGAACACCGAUGGCGAAGGCAAUCCCCUGGACCUGUACUGACGCUCAUGCACGAAAGCGUGGGGAGCAAACGAGG
This 253-nucleotide ribosomal RNA is filed under the name uncultured bacterium. RNAcentral's name for it is "partial 16S ribosomal RNA". It matches the Rfam family "Bacterial small subunit ribosomal RNA", at positions 524 to 777 of the family's 1533-position model. The record is from RNAcentral.